This 156-nucleotide ribosomal RNA is filed under the name Oidiodendron sp. Its description in RNAcentral is "partial large subunit ribosomal RNA". The record is from RNAcentral. Lineage: Eukaryota; Fungi; Ascomycota; Leotiomycetes; Myxotrichaceae.
AAGCGCUGGCAACCAGACUUGCGCAGGGUCGAUCAUCCGGUGUUCGCACCGGUGCACUCGGCCCCGUGCAGGCCAGCAUCGGUCUAGACGGUUGGAUAAAGGCCUUGGGAAUGUGACUCUCUUCGGGGAGUGUUAUAGCCCAAGGUGCAAUGCAGC